Molecule: ribosomal RNA, 207 nt
Filed under: uncultured Eubacteriales bacterium
Lineage: Bacteria; Bacillati; Bacillota; Clostridia; Eubacteriales
Description: uncultured Clostridiales bacterium partial 16S ribosomal RNA
Rfam family: Bacterial small subunit ribosomal RNA
Source: RNAcentral
UGCGUAGGCGGUCGAGUAAGUCAGAUGUGAAAUCUAUGGGCUCAACCCAUAAACUGCAUUUGAGACUACCCGGCUUGAGUGAAGUAGAGGCAGGCGGAAUUCCCUGUGUAGCGGUGAAAUGCGUAGAGAUAGGGAGGAACACCAGUGGCGAAGGCGGCCUGCUGGGCUUUAACUGACGCUGAGGCACGAAAGCGUGGGUAGCAAACA